RNAcentral lists this unclassified non-coding RNA (288 nucleotides) under Hevea brasiliensis (rubber tree). Lineage: Eukaryota; Viridiplantae; Streptophyta; Magnoliopsida; Malpighiales; Euphorbiaceae. The record is from RNAcentral.
GCAAAGUACAUAUUUAGUGUAUUGAAGAAUGGUACUAUAGCUUAUGGGAAAAAACUAACUAGUAAACAAUUUACAGCUUUGCUGAUCAUAAUUGGUUAUUGGAACAUAGCCAUUUUGCUUGGACCUGUUUUUCCGCAUCUACAUGCAUGUUUGCUUUUAUUUUUUUAGUUAAAAAAUCAAAACACCCACCCAUCUACACCACCAAUACCCUGUGCAAUCCUUUCUUCACACUGCUUUAGCUGAGUUCUUGUCAUUCUCUAUGUUCAGGCUGAUGUACUAGAAUAUUAU